AAGAAGUCUAGGUUUCGAAUCUCGUAGAAGAAUGGGCUUUAGUUUUUCGGGAUUUUUAGGAAUCCCCCGGGUCCAUUCAACCUGACAUUGCGCUGACAACAUGAUACCCUCGUUAUGCGGCUGUUAUUGAAACAGAUCAACCUUUUCCUCAUAUGCUCUAUAGAUGUUUUUUAUGCUUGUCUUGCAAGUCUUCUGGAUUUGUGUAUCAAAGGAAGAGUAUGUGAUUCGAAACCUUUCAGACCCAUGCCUCGAUAAGAAUGUCAAAUUCAUGAAAGGAACACACAGAAUAUAUGCGUACUUAGAGGUCAUCACUUCUAAAAGAGAAGGUUUGCAACUGAAUGUUAAAUGACUAGAUUUCUAAAUAAAAUACUUACUUCUGAAGUCCUUUCUUUUCUUUUCAAACUGAAUACUCACAACAUUGACACUACACAAGGAAGACUAUUUGAUACAUCCAAUGUAAGCACUUGAACUGUGUGUGUAGCUAUAGUCAACUAAAGCAGUUCCUUCCUGUGACUCAUUGUGUAACUUGGAACACGUUUGGAGUAACAGGCUUUCUCUACAAGAUUUUUUGGGUUGCAACAAAGUCUAGAAACAGACACCACAUCAGAGUUAUGAAUUCAGCUCUCUGGAUCUCACAAGUGAUGCUCUUCAAGGACACAAUACAAUCAAAGUCAUUCGACCUUUUAGUUUUAUAAUAUCAUUUAUCUACAUUUAUUUUAAAGCUGUAUGCUUGAAAAUAAAAAGAAUUAUUGAGACUAUGGUUUGAUUAUUAUUUUGUUUAGUUUAAACAAUAGAAACAAAUUCAACCUAAAAAUAAAAAAUUAAAGUG
Biomphalaria glabrata is the source of this 829-nucleotide long non-coding RNA. RefSeq lists it as uncharacterized. NCBI's taxonomy places the organism in Eukaryota, Metazoa, Mollusca, Gastropoda, Planorbidae. The record is from RefSeq and is a predicted model, not a curated record. The transcript is spliced from 3 exons.